RNAcentral lists this ribosomal RNA (483 nucleotides) under uncultured bacterium. RNAcentral describes it as "partial 16S ribosomal RNA". It matches the Rfam family "Bacterial small subunit ribosomal RNA", at positions 28 to 507 of the family's 1533-position model. The record is from RNAcentral.
GACGAACGCUGGCGGCGUGCUUAACACAUGCAAGUCGAACGCUGAAGCUCAGCUUUUGUUGGGUGGAUGAGUGGCGAACGGGUGAGUAACACGUGAGUAACCUGCCCCCUUCUUUGGGAUAACGCCCGGAAACGGGUGCUAAUACUGGAUAUUCACUGGUCUUCGCAUGGGGGUUGGUGGAAAGGGUUUUUCUGGUGGGGGAUGGGCUCGCGGCCUAUCAGCUUGUUGGUGGGGUGAUGGCCUACCAAGGCUUUGACGGGUAGCCGGCCUGAGAGGGUGACCGGUCACAUUGGGACUGAGAUACGGCCCAGACUCCGACGGGAGGCAGCAGUGGGGAAUAUUGUACAAUGGGCGCAAGCCUGAUGCAGCGACGCCGCGUGAGGGAUGGAGGCCUUCGGGUUGUGAACCUCUUUCGCUCAUGGUCAAGCCGCAACAAUGGUUGUGGUGAGGGUAGUGGGUAAAGAAGCGCCGGCUAACUACGUG